Molecule: ribosomal RNA, 432 nt
Filed under: uncultured bacterium
Lineage: Bacteria
Description: partial 16S ribosomal RNA
Rfam family: Bacterial small subunit ribosomal RNA
Source: RNAcentral
CCUACGGGGGGCAGCAGUAGGGAAUCUUGCGCAAUGGGCGAAAGCCUGACGCAGCGACGCCGCGUGAGUGAUGAAGGCCUUCGGGUUGUAAAGCUCUGGGGGAGAAAACUCGGUAUCUCCUUAGCAAGCACCGGCUAACUCUGUGCCAGCAGCCGCGGUAAUACAGAGGGUGCAAACGUUGUUCGGAAUUACUGGGCGUAAAGCGCGUGUAGGCGGCUUGGCAGGUCGGAUGUGAAAUCCCAGGGCUCAACCCUGGAAGGGCAUUCGAAACCGCUUCGCUAGAGUUCUGGAGAGGAAGGUGGAAUGCUUGGUGUAGAGGUGAAAUUCGUAGAUAUCAAGCGGAACACCGGUGGCGAAGGCGGCCUUCUGGACAGAACUGACGCUGAGACGCGAAAGCGUGGGGAGCAAACAGGAUUAGAUACCCUAGUAGUC